GGCAAGUAAAAUAUUUUAUAUUGAAAUAGUUUCCAGAAAGAGAAUAACCAUAUACAUUUUCCACAGUGUGAGGUACUUGCUACGUAAAAUGCUAAAUAAACAACUAGUUAAUUUGUUUGGGGGGUACUACUUAGUAAAUUCAUAAAUACAGGGACCGUAUUGCAAUGUUUCACCUCAUUUUCUUGUGGCUGUUCUUUUUCAGUGUCGGUGCUCUCUCAUUCUUGUCCUUCUCAGUCUUUUCCUUUUUCUCUUUCUUAGGCUGUGUGGGUGAAGCAAACUGCUGUGUGACUUGCUGGGCUACCAGUUGGGGAACAGGACGAGG
Rhinichthys klamathensis goyatoka is the source of this 322-nucleotide long non-coding RNA. RefSeq lists it as uncharacterized. The record is from RefSeq and is a predicted model, not a curated record. The transcript is spliced from 2 exons. Lineage: Eukaryota; Metazoa; Chordata; Actinopteri; Cypriniformes; Leuciscidae.